RNAcentral lists this long non-coding RNA (777 nucleotides) under Equus caballus (horse). RNAcentral's name for it is "lncRNA (ENSECAG00000045071.1)". Lineage: Eukaryota; Metazoa; Chordata; Mammalia; Perissodactyla; Equidae. The record is from RNAcentral.
GUCAUUAUGAUGAAACCAGGCUUGUUUCAGAAUUCCAUGAGAACCACAGUGUCAGGCCGUCAUAACUCUGGAGCUGGAAAUGGAAAAGGCUGUGAUCUGGGGCUGGCUGGCACAGUCCCUGUGAGUCAUUAUGGAAACACUGGCCCCGGAUGCUGCUGAGAAGGACUGGGUUGCUGGGUGAAAAAAAUGGAUUCUUUCUGUAACCUCAGCUCUGCCACUGUGCUCAGUUCUAGAACAGGUAUUCCGAAGAGAAAUUGCUCAAAAAUGCACCCUUUUCUAGAUCCAAAGACCAGGACAGAGAAUCCUAGAGAAGAAUUUUGAUGAAGCUCUUCAGCAUUUUUUUGGCAGGCUGAAUUCAACUUAUCCAAGCUGCUGGAAACUGAAAUGUUUCUCAAGGAGAGGACCCAGCCCCUUGAAACCCUGUGCUUAAUUCACACAACAUGCUAAAGCAUGAUUUCUGGAAAGGCUUUAUGCAUUCCUGUAGAUAUGUAUAUGAUAAAUACUUUGUUAUCAUUUUCUGUCGUGUUCACCAUUCUGGUGCUGAGAGCUGAUGUCUGCUUUAAUCUAUGUGCUGAGUUACAGAUAUACAUGAUCAAAUAAAGUCAAGACAAGAAUCAAGCCUCAUAAAAAUUUUGCCUACAGCAUGUACCAAAAAAAGUCAGUUGUGCCAAGGCUACGCAGGCCAAGUGAAGCCAGGGGUUGUGCAAUUACCCAGCAGAGGUUGAAAUUUCUGACAAAAACAGGGACCUCAUUGAAAGUGCAAGCAUAAAAAUGAAG